CAAAAUCAAAAUUCUUGGGUAGAAUGAAAUUUCCUUUCCAUUCAUAAAUUUUUACAUAGCAUUUGAUUUCAAAUCCAAGUCUAUAUACAAGUCCCUUGUCAGCAAAUCACCCAAUCAAAAAGCACCACACUGCACAUUGACUGUGAAACUGGGAACUCAAGAAAUUUUUCUCAUUUCUUCCUUGACACGUGAGAAAAGCAAACUCCUUACAUGAAAAAGAAAACCAAAAUAAAGAGCUAGCCACAUCAUAUACAGAUCACAGAUCACAUCAUAGAGCAGAUCCAUCAAUCCACACAUGACUACUCAAUCCUAUUUAUAACAUUCACAGAAGAAAGUAGAAGGAAGUAGAAAAGCCCAAAAAGAAAAAAAAUGUAAAAUCCUCAAAGUGGGUCUUGUUGUCCUCCUCCAAAUCGCUUCUUGCCCUUUCCUUGCUGACAAAAACCAUACAUAGUACCAUAUAUAUUCUGUUCUUUACCCUCCACCUUCUGUUCUUUCCUCCGGUAAUUGUUUUUUCUCUUUUCAGCGCAAAUUAACAUUAUAAACUAUAUGCAUGUAUAUAUAUUUGUUUGUAAAACUAAGCUGCAGCUACAGUGCCUGUACAAGAAGGGUAGUCCUGUGUCUUAGGAGGUGAUAUAGAUUUCUUCUGGUCUUUUUUCCUUAAAGCUUUCAUGGAAGAAGAAAGGUUCCAGUUCUUGUCUUUAGCUUCAUCAAUCUCUAUUUGCUCUUGCCUGCACUCUUCACUGCAGAAUGGAGUGUCCCCUCUAUACAUGAAGAUGUCUCUGUUAUCACUCAGUGGUCUCUUGCAAAGAAAACAAGCUUCCAAGAAAUGAGGCUGAUGAUCUUCAAAUCUCGCAUCAUAAAAUCUCGCAGAUCUUGGAGAAGCAACAGACGAUGAAAGGUUCCUGAAACUCCCCGUCU
RNAcentral lists this unclassified non-coding RNA (918 nucleotides) under Hevea brasiliensis (rubber tree). The record is from RNAcentral. Lineage: Eukaryota; Viridiplantae; Streptophyta; Magnoliopsida; Malpighiales; Euphorbiaceae.